GCAACGCCGCGUGAGGGAUGACGGCCUUCGGGUUGUAAACCUCUUUCAGCAGGGACGAAGCGAGAGUGACGGUACCUGCAGAAGAAGGACCGGCCAACUACGUGCCAGCAGCCGCGGUAAUACGUAGGGUCCGAGCGUUGUCCGGAAUUAUUGGGCGUAAAGGGCUCGUAGGCGGUUUGUCGCGUCGGGAGUGAAAACUCAGGGCUCAACCCUGAGCGUGCUUCCGAUACGGGCAGACUAGAGGUAUUCAGGGGAGAACGGAAUUCCUGGUGUAGCGGUGGAAUGCGCAGAUAUCAGGAGGAACACCGGUGGCGAAGGCGGUUCUCUGGGAAUUACCUGACGCUGAGGAGCGAAAGCAUGGGGAGCGAACAGGAUUAGAUACCCUGGUAGUCCAUGCCGUAAACGUUGGGCGCUAGGUGUGGGGACCUUCCACGGUUUCCGUGCCGCAGCUAACGCAUUAAGCGCCCCGCCUGGGGAGUACGGCCGCAAGGCUAAAACUCAAAGGAAUUGACGGGGGCCCGCACAAGCGGCGGAGCAUGCUGAUUAAUUCGAUGCAACGCGAAGAACCUUACCUGGGUUUGACAUAUGCCGGAAAGCUGCAGAGAUGUGGCCUCCUUUUGGUCG
RNAcentral lists this ribosomal RNA (624 nucleotides) under Aeromicrobium sp. Ri3Ps_6523. RNAcentral's name for it is "bacterial SSU rRNA". It matches the Rfam family "Bacterial small subunit ribosomal RNA", at positions 391 to 1029 of the family's 1533-position model. Lineage: Bacteria; Bacillati; Actinomycetota; Actinomycetes; Propionibacteriales; Nocardioidaceae. The record is from RNAcentral.